RNAcentral lists this transfer RNA (85 nucleotides) under Felis catus (domestic cat). It matches the Rfam family "tRNA". Rfam says of the family: Transfer RNA (tRNA) molecules are approximately 80 nucleotides in length. Their secondary structure includes four short double-helical elements and three loops (D, anti-codon, and T loops). Further hydrogen bonds mediate the characteristic L-shaped molecular structure. tRNAs have two regions of fundamental functional importance: the anti-codon, which is responsible for specific mRNA codon recognition, and the 3' end, to which the tRNAs corresponding amino acid is attached (by aminoacyl-tRNA synthetases). tRNAs cope with the degeneracy of the genetic code in two manners: having more than one tRNA (with a specific anti-codon) for a particular amino acid; and 'wobble' base-pairing, i.e. permitting non-standard base-pairing at the 3rd anti-codon position. The record is from Rfam by way of RNAcentral. Lineage: Eukaryota; Metazoa; Chordata; Mammalia; Carnivora; Felidae. RNAcentral also lists the same sequence under 3 other names.
ACCUGGGUGGCUGAGUCUGUUAAGUGUCUGACUUUGACUCAGGUCAUGAUCUCAUGGGCUGUGGGUUCAAGCCCCACAGCAGGCU